AUUGAACGCUGGCGGCAGGCCUAACACAUGCAAGUCGAGCGGAUGAAGGGAGCUUGCUCCUGGAUUCAGCGGCGGACGGGUGAGUAAUGCCUAGGAAUCUGCGUGGUAGUGUGGGAUAACGGCCGGAAACGGGCGCUAAUACGGCAUACGUCCUGAGGGAGAAAGGGGGGGAUCUUCGGACCUCACGCUAUCAGAUGAGCCUAGGUCGGAUUAGCUAGUUGGUGGGGUAAAGGCCUACCAAGGCGACGAUCCGUAACUGGUCUGAGAGGAUGAUCAGUCACACUGGAACUGAGACACGGUCCAGACUCCUACGGGAGGCAGCAGUGGGGAAUAUUGGACAAUGGGCGCAAGCCUGAUCCAGCCAUGCCGCGUGUGUGAAGAAGGUCUUCGGAUUGUAAAGCACUUUAAGUUGGGAGGAAGGGCAGUAAGUUAAUACCCUGCUGUUUUGACGUUACCAACAGAAUAAGCACCGGCUAACUUCGUG
Molecule: ribosomal RNA, 484 nt
Filed under: uncultured bacterium
Lineage: Bacteria
Description: partial 16S ribosomal RNA
Rfam family: Bacterial small subunit ribosomal RNA
Source: RNAcentral